This 638-nucleotide ribosomal RNA is filed under the name uncultured bacterium. Its description in RNAcentral is "bacterial SSU rRNA". It matches the Rfam family "Bacterial small subunit ribosomal RNA", at positions 79 to 716 of the family's 1533-position model. The record is from RNAcentral.
UUCAAUUGCCGGCGACCGGCGCACGGGUGAGUAACGCGUAUCCAACCUUCCGUACACUCAGGGAUAGCCUUUCGAAAGAAAGAUUAAUACCUGAUGGUAUGAUGAGAUUGCAUGAUAGCAUCAUUAAAGAUUUAUCGGUGUACGAUGGGGAUGCGUUCCAUUAGGUAGUAGGCGGGGUAACGGCCCACCUAGCCAACGAUGGAUAGGGGUUCUGAGAGGAAGGUCCCCCACAUUGGAACUGAGACACGGUCCAAACUCCUACGGGAGGCAGCAGUGAGGAAUAUUGGUCAAUGGACGAGAGUCUGAACCAGCCAAGUAGCGUGAAGGAUGAAGGUCCUACGGAUUGUAAACUUCUUUUAUAAGGGAAUAAACCCUCCCACGUGUGGGAGCUUGUAUGUACCUUAUGAAUAAGCAUCGGCUAACUCCGUGCCAGCAGCCGCGGUAAUACGGAGGAUGCGAGCGUUAUCCGGAUUUAUUGGGUUUAAAGGGAGCGCAGACGGGUCGUUAAGUCAGCUGUGAAAGUUUGGGGCUCAACCUUAAAAUUGCAGUUGAUACUGGCGUCCUUGAGUGCGGUUGAGGUGUGCGGAAUUCGUGGUGUAGCGGUGAAAUGCUUAGAUAUCACGAAGAACUCCGAUUGC